RNAcentral lists this ribosomal RNA (119 nucleotides) under Helianthus annuus (common sunflower). The record is from RNAcentral. Lineage: Eukaryota; Viridiplantae; Streptophyta; Magnoliopsida; Asterales; Asteraceae.
GAUUGCGAUCAUACCAGCACUAAUGCACCGGAUCCCAUCAGAACUCCGCUGUUAAGCGUGCUUGGGCGAGAGUAGUACUAGGAUGGGUGACCCCCUGGGAAGUCCUCGUGUUGCAACCC